This 67-nucleotide transfer RNA is filed under the name Anomalurus beecrofti (Beecroft's scaly-tailed squirrel). RNAcentral describes it as "tRNA-Cys". It matches the Rfam family "tRNA". Rfam says of the family: Transfer RNA (tRNA) molecules are approximately 80 nucleotides in length. The record is from RNAcentral. Lineage: Eukaryota; Metazoa; Chordata; Mammalia; Rodentia; Anomaluridae.
GCCCUGAGGUGUAAAUUACAUGUUGAAUUGCAAAUUCAAAGAAGCAGCUUCAAUCCUGCCGGGGCUU